RNAcentral lists this ribosomal RNA (450 nucleotides) under uncultured bacterium. Its description in RNAcentral is "partial 16S ribosomal RNA". It matches the Rfam family "Bacterial small subunit ribosomal RNA", at positions 354 to 796 of the family's 1533-position model. The record is from RNAcentral.
GUGGGGAAUCUUCCGCAAUGGACGAAAGUCUGACGGAGCAACGCCGCGUGAACGAUGACGGCCUUCGGGUUGUAAAGUUCUGUUAUACGGGACGAAUGGUACGACGGUCAAUACUCGUCGUAAGUGACGGUACCGUAAGAGAAAGCCACGGCUAACUACGUGCCAGCAGCCGCGGUAAUACGUAGGUGGCAAGCGUUGUCCGGAAUUAUUGGGCGUAAAGGGCGCGCAGGCGGCGUCGUAAGUCGGUCUUAAAAGUGCGGGGCUUAACCCCGUGAGGGGACCGAAACUGCGAUGCUAGAGUAUAGGAGAGGAAAGCGGAAUUCCUAGUGUAGCGGUGAAAUGCGUAGAUAUUAGGAGGAACACCAGUGGCGAAGGCGACUUUCUGGACUGUUACUGACGCUGAGGCGCGAAAGCUGGGGGAGUGAACGGGAUUAGAAACCCCAGUAGUCC